RNAcentral lists this long non-coding RNA (561 nucleotides) under Salmo salar (Atlantic salmon). RNAcentral's name for it is "lncRNA (ENSSSAG00000118936.1, ENSSSAG00020059373.1)". Lineage: Eukaryota; Metazoa; Chordata; Actinopteri; Salmoniformes; Salmonidae. The record is from RNAcentral.
UUUAAUAAUGGGAAAAUUGAGAUGACAGUGGAAGGACACAUUUUCUUCAACAGCCUGCAAGUAUCAUCCGGAUAUUUUCGAAAUGAGAACCGAACUGUAAGAAAACCAGUAUCUGGUGGAAGAGGUUGACUGUUCACCCCAGAGCAGGAGACCCACAUUGUAAAUAUGGUCAUUGCAAAUAACUGCAUGAGACUCAGAGAACUGCAGGACCACAUAAUGGCAGAUAACACCAUAUUCCAAAACGUCAACAGAAGUCAUGGAGCUAGAAGCAGAUGCAGUGCAUCAUGAGCUAAUAUAUGUGGACAAGGCAUGUUUCAACCUUGCAAAAACAAGGGGCCGUGGCAGAAAUAUCAUCAGACACCGUGCAAUCAUCAACAUCCCAGAACAACGUGGUGGCAACAUAACAAUGUGUGCGGUUAUUAGUCAAAACGGCGUCCUUCACCAUCAUGCAAUACCAGGCCCAUAUAACACUGCACACAUUAUCACAUUUCUGGACACCCUCAACAACAGACUAUUCCCUAAUGACCAAGGGUCAGAGCAGCCCAGGUACGUUAUCAUCUG